AAUGAUAUGCCUGAGUUAAAAGGAUUAUUUUGAUAAAAUAAAUUAUACAUUAUUAAAUUAAUUUUAAUGUUUUCAUUA
Molecule: transfer RNA, 78 nt
Filed under: Acropyga smithii
Lineage: Eukaryota; Metazoa; Arthropoda; Insecta; Hymenoptera; Formicidae
Description: tRNA-Ile
Source: RNAcentral